Molecule: ribosomal RNA, 253 nt
Filed under: uncultured bacterium
Lineage: Bacteria
Description: partial 16S ribosomal RNA
Rfam family: Bacterial small subunit ribosomal RNA
Source: RNAcentral
UACGUAGGGUGCAAGCGUUGUCCGGAAUUAUUGGGCGUAAAGAGCUCGUAGGCGGUUUGUCGCGUCUGCUGUGAAAACUCAGGGCUUAACCCUGAGCCUGCAGUGGGUACGGGCAGACUAGAGUGUGGUAGGGGAGAUCGGAAUUCCUGGUGUAGCGGUGAAAUGCGCAGAUAUCAGGAGGAACACCGGUGGCGAAGGCGGUUCUCUGGGCAUUACCUGACGCUGAGGAGCGAAAGUGUGGGGAGCGAACAGG